This is a non-coding RNA of Macaca mulatta (Rhesus monkey), 6156 nucleotides long. NCBI's taxonomy places the organism in Eukaryota, Metazoa, Chordata, Mammalia, Primates, Cercopithecidae. The record is from RefSeq and is a predicted model, not a curated record.
AGGACGGGCAGAGCCGGGUAACCCAGCCUCUCUGACCUCGUGGUGUGCAGCUCUCCAGGAAGGGCAGAGCCGGGUAACCCAGCUUCUCUGACCUCACGGUGUGCAGCUCUCCAGGACGGGCAGAGUCAAGUAACCCAGCCUCUCUGACCUUGUGGUGUGCAGCUCUCCAGGACGGGCAGAGCCGGGUAACCCAGCCUCUCUGACCUCACGGUGCCAAACCACCUCCAUCUUCCCAUCAAAGACCUCAAAGCCGUGCCCCCCUCAUCAUUCCACCGGAAGGAAACAGCUCAUGGCAUGAGUUCAGCGCAUGCUAGGGCCUCCACAGGGAUGGCUGAGGGAAGGCAGAGUGGAACAACUGGUGAGUAAGAAGGUGACCUAGACAGACGUGGCUGGGAGGUGAGAAUCUACUUAUCCAAUGUCUCCUGUCUAGAGGAGGGUGUCACGGAUUGCUGAGUGUUGUCCUGGGCAGCACCGUCAGCAUCGGGGAGGCCAUGCCUUUGGAGGAGACUGAGAGGUUUUUUCCUUCCAGGAGUUUUAGGCCAGGCACCACACGACUGCAGCUCAAGGAGGGGCACCCACAGGGGCCGAAGCCCUCAUCAGCAACGAACGGCAGUGGUACACGGUCCACUCUUCCAGGAAAGGUGAACAGUGAGACAGGGGGGUCAACUUCAACCCCACACACGAUCACCACUACUCAGACAGCUCAGGCUUCAAGAUAGGGGUCUGCUCCUGGCCGACAGCUGCACAGCUGAGCACAGAGCCACGGGAGAAACAUCCAUGGGCGUCCCCAUGUGCUAGGACAACCGUGGCUCCUGCUCCUGACCUCCUGCAGCACAGCUCCAGUCUGGUGCCAGGCAUUAAAUCCUUACCCACAUGAUGCUUUAACUGCAGCUGCAAUCUACAUAGCAAAUGCCAAGUGCAGAGAUCAAGGCGAACAGGAGGCCUGGGCACUCGGGGGCUCUUUGAGUAAAUGACAUCUACGCUAAAGUUUAAAGGUGGGCAAGAUGGGAGUACGGCUUCCCCCACGAAGAGAAGAUAGUGAUUCCUGUUGGUGGAAAAGGCAUCUGUGAUGAUCCUGAGCCUGGGAACCUGGCGUGUGGAGAAGCUACAGCCAGCCUGGAUACAGCGUGGACAGCAACAGAAGAUAACGGGAGAGGAGGCAGGAGAGCAGGAACCAGUCCCUGCAAAGGAGGCCAGUCACGCGUUUGGCAAUACGGUAGGGCAGGAAUUUGAACCAGCGCAGGCGGGGACAGCUGAACAUGUUGCAUUAAGGCUAAGACGAGCCACACAGACAGGAAGAGUUCAAGAGUUCUUGAGACCACCAUCCAAGGGCGGGUAGGGAUUUGGUCGUUGGCACAAUGAAUUCAGCUGUUCUUGUCCAGGGGAUUUGCCAAACUCCUGAUCUGAGUGUUCAUCUCAUGGUCUUGGAAGGGAAGGGAAGGGGUUGGUUAUGGGGAAAGAAGACAAAGCCUGGGGCCCAUUCAGGUGGAUGGUCUUAUAGGGGACAGACUGCAGAACGCUGCCACUUCAAAGCGCACAUCUUCCGUAUAAGGUUAAACCCUAGUCCCCCUCCUGCCACUUCCAGAGGCUUUAGGGAAGGUGGCUCAGUGGAGCAGAGGGGUAGGAGUACUGUUCGGAGAGGAUGGAGGCCACAUUCACCACACCUAGGUGGUGCUGGUAGAACCCCAAGUUCAAACUCAGUUUAAAGCAGUUCCAAACUGACAAUGCCCCUAGGGCCUGGCAAUGGCCAAUGCAAAACCUCUCUAGAGACACACAUCCUCUUUGUAGGAAGAUUCUCACCAGUGAUAUCCCACGGCAAACGAGUAGCUCAGAGUUAGAUAUGACUACACUAUGAGCUAGAACAAGUAGAAACCUCAGACAAUAAAAUCAGAACUGCAAACAUCAGGCCUGUGAGGGAUCAGACUUGGAGUCUGAAAUACCUAUACUUAUUAUGUUUAAAGAGAUUUGUUUAAUGACCCAGAAAAUAACUGCAGAGAACAGAAAAGUAUAAAAAAAGAAGCUGAAAGUUAACAAAAGAGAACCCCCAGAAGUGAAAAAUACAGAAUUUAUAAUUUAAAACUUAAUGGGUAGGAUUAGUAGCUGAGCUGACCUUGCUGAUGAGAGAAUUGGUGAACUGGAAGGCAGGUCAGAAGAAAUUGUUUAGAAUGUGGUAGAGAGAGACUAAGGGAUUAGAAAGAAAAGGGUAGAAGACGCAGUGGGCGGGAUGAGAAGUGUUGACACAUUGGGGCGGAUGUUCAGAAAAGACUGGUUUGCAGGACAAACCACACAUCCAGAUCACCAGCUUCCAGAUGGACAGCAGCACAGUAAAUGCCUGACCACACUGUGAAAGCACGGCCUUUCUCUGUCCUGCCAGGGCCUGAGUAAGAGGCCAGCUCUUUAGCACCCCCACUGGUGCUAGUCUCAGUUGGGGCUGACCUGGGUUCUAUGCUCUGUGGGGAGACCCUGUCUUUACACUCAUGGUUCCUCCUGGUGUGAUUCCCAAUAUCCCCUCCUGUGAUGGUUAAUACUGGGUGUCAAUCUGGUUGGAUUGAAGGAUACCAAGUAUUGAUCCUGGCUGUGUCUGUGAGGGUGUUGCCAAGGGAAAUUAACAUUUAAGUCAAUGCGUUGGUAAAGACAGACCCACCCUCAGUCUGGGUAGGCACCAUUUAAUCAGCUGCCAGCACAGCUAAAAUAUAAGCAGGCAGAAAAAUGUGAAGAGAGAAACUGGCUUAGCCUCUCAGCCUUCAUCUUUCUUCCGUGCUGGAUGCUUCCUGCCCUUGAACAUCAGACUCCAAGUGCUUCAGUUUUGGGACUCGAACUGGCUCUCCUUGCUUCUCAGCCUGCAUAUGGCCUAUUGUGGGAGCUUGUGAUUGUGUGAGUUAAUUCUUAAUAAACUCAUAUAUAUACAUAUAUGAGUUUACAUAUUAUAUAUAUUCCAUUAGUUCUGUCCCUCUAGAGAACCGUGACUAAUACAUUCCCCCAUCAUGAUACACACUGAUUGGUUUUUUUGCUCUGUAGCAACGGACUUGUGUCCUCCCCCCUGCAAAAAAACAUGUCUAUAUCCUAACCCUGGUUACCUGGAAAUGUGAGCUUAUUUGGAAAAAUGGUCUUUGCAGAUGUAAUGACAUUAAGGAUCCUGGGAUGAGAUCAUUCUGGACUUAGGGUGGGCUCUAACGCCCUGGCACUGAGCAUUUCUGAUGACAGGUGACCUCUCAAGAAGGGAGAAGUCCAUGGAGGUGCACCUGAGGAGAGCCACGUAAAGACAGAGGCAUAGCCUGGAAUGACGCAGCCACCCAAGGCUGGAAGAGGUGAGGCAGGGGCCUCUCCUGAAGCUUCAGAAGGAACAUGGCCCUGCUCGCACCUACAUUUCAGACUUCUGGUCUCCAGAACUGUGAGAAGAACUUGAGUCCCUGAUUGGGCCCUGGUGGUAUCAUCUAUAGAAAUAAGCAGCAACUGCUAUGAAGAUCCAAUCGCAAACAUCCUGGUGACCUUUCAAGGCAGGACACUUGGCACCUUCUUUGGAAGACGCAUUAGGGAGCGCAGGCACCCCAAGCCUCAUUCGAGAUCACUACUCCACACAGGCUAGGGGAGCUGGUCUCUCUUCCUUCCCCCAAAUUUAAAAUGUGCCAUCCUAUGACCAGCUAACCUUCCCUUGCAAAAUAACACUCUGAAUUUCCAUCUGCCGAAUUCAGACAGGGACUAUGUCCUGCGGCGUAACUUGUAGUUUUCAAAUAUUUGCUAGAUUAUAAAGGAUGAUACUCCAGUAUUUUUAUAUCAUCUAAAUUUUCCCACAUCUUCCCCUGCUAAGGGUGAGUAUUUCUGAUGACAUCUUGAGCAGAUGCAGGAGAAAUAAUUUGGAUACAACAGAGCACAGAUGACAUAUUUCUUUGUAGAACCUCAAACCUUCCGUUUGCCGAAGCUGCAAUAAGCCCCACACCCUCUUUAAGCGUCGUGAAAGAUCUCCAAGUUGUAACAACCAUGCGGGCUGCCAUAUUGAGCCAUUUAACAGUUCAUAUGGUCUUUAAAAUGCAUAUCGUGUGACAGCGGGUCUGAGUUUGUGAAUGACAGCUUUUUAUGAGAACUGCCUUCCAUCCUCCUGAAAGAUACUAUCUUCUCAUCAUUGCAACUUGCUAACAUCUUGAUGGAUCGAGGCAGGGGUGGAAACUGGUGGGAGGGGCAGAGGGGGGUUUGGAGGAUGGUGUUGUUGGUGGGAGUGCUGUCGAGGCGAAAACCUGUGAAUUAUCAGAGUUCACGCAAACCAGAUCGCUCAUCUCUCUGUCCACGGAUAUGGAUACAAAGGGAUGAUCACAACUCUAUCAGGUCGUGGCCCAGAACUGGGUAAAACAAGGACGAGUGUGAAGUGUGAUUUAUCUGCAAACGGUGUCCAUUCAACCAUUGAGGCAGUCAUAAAGGUAUUAAUUUAGCUGCAAACAUUAAAAUGUAUACAGUAAGAUGGAUUUUUUUAACAGUUCAGUGUGGCAUAACCUUAAUGCGGUACAUUAAAAUCAUUCAUUACAAUGAAUAAAUAGCUUAAUGAGAUUUGAAGCAUCGAGCAGUCUCCCCCUAAAUGUCUGAUGAAGUGAAGCAGGCAGUGGCUGUCACUGAGCAUAAAUUAUGCAAAAUAAUACACUCAACACCAUCUCUCCCUAUGCAUCCUUGCUUUUGUUGAAUAUUCAAAGGGACAGCUUCCCAGGACAAUAUCAAAUUAGUCUUUGUAAUAAAAAAGUCUGCAACAAAAUUAUCUACACAAUCCUUAUCUGCAUAACUCUCCAUUUAAACAAAGGCCAGUGACAGGCCGAUAUCUUAUUUGAGUGAUGUGUCUCCACUCUAAGCAAUGCUACCUAGUUUUGAGUCAUUUUUCUUUUUGUUUAACAUUCCUGGAGUUGACACUUCACCUCGAAAACUUGCAGUGGGAAUUUAAACAAAGAACAUUUGAGCACAGGAGCCUUGAGCAGAGUUGGUUAAACCGUGGGAACAGGAAAGAAUGUCCUGGCAAUUUCUCUACUGCUCCUUAGAAAAAUUCUUUGUCGAAUCAGUGCAUUUAAAUGAAGCAUUUCAAAAACCUCCCUCCCCUUCAUUUGUGGAUUUCAGAAAGUGAGAUGGUUAGGCUGGACAAUGGGGGUGGGGCAGAGGAUUUAAAGACCAAAAGCUCCACAGACCACCUCCCUGCAGCCGCUGGCUUGGGAAGAUGAGGUUCUGAAUUUUCUUAAUGACCUUCAGAUUUCCCCACACAGAUUCGGAUGUUGGAUUAACUUCAGUAACUGUAAAAGUCACGGCUCUAACUAUUUCAUCCUGCUUGGUGUCUACAGUGAGAAGUACAGGAUGACUCUGCGUGGCUGUCUGUCAAUUAAGGCGACUCCACGCCGCUGCUGCCCCAUUAGUGACUGUGAGAGCAGAGCAUUCCCAAGACCCCACCGAGGCCCAGCGCCCCACGGCCAAGGCACUCACUCCAAAACCACGUCCAUCCUCUCUAUCUCGUCUUCAGACCCUUCCGAGGAACAGAUCUUGAAAUGGAUUAUGUUUCCACACCCUGGUGUUAGUCCGUUAAGAGGAAUUACACUUACCACUUGUCAGGCAGGCUACGUGCCCCGGUUUCAUUCAUACAGUUUCAUUUAAUUUUCCCAACCACCUACCCAGCAUUCUCACGCUCCCUUUUGCAUAGGUGGAAAACAGAAACCUUAGGCUCAGAAUGGUUGCAAACUUGCUUAAAGUCAAACAGCAAAGAAGGGAGGGUCUCUCUGAGUUACAGCUGAGCCCUCAGUAAAAAAUGGAUGCUUAAUAUCCGUGGACGGGACUGAUGUCGAUGUCUUGGCUGUGAUGACAUCACCUGCAGUCCAUGGAAGGCUACCAUUAGGACAUCAACUGAAGGGAACUUUCUGGGCUAUCUUUGCAACUUCCCCGUGAAUCUAGAAAUACUUCCAAAAAAAAGUUUUAAAAAAUUAUGCUAAAGCAUCCUUCUACAUGGAGUGAGUUGUCUGAUGGCCAAAAUACAUCCAUGUCAAUCCCUGGAACCUAUAAUGUCAUUUUACUUGGAGAAACGGUAUUGACAAGCAGAUGUGAUUAGUAAUUUUGAGAUAAAGAAAUCAUUCUGGAUUAUCUGAUUGGGCCCUAAACCCAAUGACAGGUAUCCCUAUGAAAGACACAAAGUGAGACGCA